This 527-nucleotide long non-coding RNA is filed under the name Cricetulus griseus (Chinese hamster). Its description in RNAcentral is "lncRNA (ENSCGRG00015029458.1)". The record is from RNAcentral. Lineage: Eukaryota; Metazoa; Chordata; Mammalia; Rodentia; Cricetidae.
GUACACUAGCCCCUGGAGAGGUCAAUAAGGAGGACAGGCUGGGCAGGGCAGAAGCACAAUCAAGCCAGGCAGUGGUGGUGGAGUGUCAUGGACCUCAUGGCAUGGUGGAGUGUCAUGGACCACAUGGCAUGGUGGAGUGUCAUGGACCACAUGGCAACCAUUUCGGCUUGACAAAGCUCCAGCAUUUGACUUUGCGGAUCACAAUUCUCCAGUCCAAAAAAGUGGGGGGAGUGUUCCCAUGGAAUCUUCACCCCAGCCCCUGACAUCCUUAUACCCAAAGAAUCUGGAAUGUUCUGGUGGAAGUUCCACCCUAAACCCCUUCCUCUGUCUCUCUCUGCAAACCCUGAUGUAUCUCAGAAAGCCUGCUAAAUAAUGACCUCUGCCCCCAGAAAUGCUCAAGACCACCCCCACAAGGUAUUUGAAGUGUCCCCCAGGAAACAGACAAUUGGUUUUCUGGUCUUUCUUUUCCAUCUCCUCUCUUGGGGGGCUGGGAAAUCAUCCGGAGCAUUUUAUCCAUUGAAUGUGGG